Molecule: long non-coding RNA, 5437 nt
Filed under: Sus scrofa (pig)
Lineage: Eukaryota; Metazoa; Chordata; Mammalia; Artiodactyla; Suidae
Description: lncRNA (ENSSSCG00000063034.1)
Source: RNAcentral
AAACAGCUGUCACAGAUUUCUAAAAGACUGGGACUCUAAAUGAAAACUCAAAGAAAGUGGUUUUAUUGAUUGUAUUUUUGUAGAUGCAUGAUAGCAUUGCUUUUCUUCUGUGUAAAUAAAAAGUCAAUAUACAGGAUCAGUUCUACUUGUUUUAUAUAUCGAAUAAUAGUUGUAUUGACAGUAUGGUAUUUGUUCAGUACAUAUUACAAUGUUAUAAAGCAGGUUGGCUAUAACUUUUUACCACUUAAAGUAGAUUGUAUUAGUCAUUUACCUCUCUCAAAGAUGAUUCACUGUCAUAUUUGCUGUGAUACUUUCAUAUAGCUUUCUGUUAAUUUGCAUAUUUAUAUAUAUGUGUAUAUUUUUAAAACAUAAAUUGUAUUUUAACGUACAUAUUAUGUAUCACCUCAAUUAUUUUACAAACAUUUUGGGAGAAUUUCUCUGUUGGGACACGUAGGUCUCCCUUUUUCUUUUUUUCUUUGUUUUUUGUCUUUUUAGGGCUGCACCCGCAGCAUAUGGAGGUUCCCAGGAUAGGGGUCAAAUUGGAGUUAUUGCAAUGCCAGAUCUUUACCUACUGAGUGAGGCCAGGGAUUGAACUCAUAACCUCAUGGUUCCCGGUAGGAUUCCUUUCCGCUGCACCACGAUGGGAACUCCCUCCCUUUUCCUUUUUAACAUCUACAUAUAACUCUGUAAAACAGAUUAUCAUGAUAUAUAAAAAAUUCUUUAAUUGAAAGAUAUUUAAGGAGUUCCUCUUGUGGCUCAGUGGUAAUGAACUCAACUAGUAUCCAUGAGGAUGUGGUUCAAGCCCUGGCCGCACUCAGCGGGUUAAGGAUAUGGCGUUGCCAUGAGUUUUGGUCACAGUUGAGGCUCAGGUCCCAUUUGCUGUGGCUGUGGUGUAGGCCGGCAGCUGCAGCUCUGAUUUAACCCCUAGCCUGGAAACUUCCAUAUGCUGUGCGUGUGGCCCCCCAAAAUUUUUGUUUGAUACAGCACACACCUCUUAAAACUACCAGUGUUUUAAUUGUCAUUUCCUUUUUAUUGCUUCUCCUUUUUCUUUAUUUCAGAUCUUGUUUAUUAGUGUUCUUCAGAGGUCAUGGAUUAUCUUUGCUUCUCUCCAUUUUUAUGAAUUUAUUCUUUAUUUUCUCCAUCUUUUGGGAAAGAGAAACUCACCAUAUGGAAUACACAAUUUUUAUUGUACUUAAAGUUACUUGCUUCUUGAAAUAUGUUAUUGUGGCUGAAGGAUAAGAACUACAAGAAAGCUUUGACUCAGAUAAUCACAAUUCUUCUAAUCCUUUCAUAGUGUCUUCUUUCAAAUGUGCCGCUGCAGUAUAGGGUUUGGAGUAUCGCUGUUGUCAACAGUUGUUUAUUUUGUGAAAUAAAUGGUUAUUUCAUGUAAAAAAUGUUUUUGGACAAGUGAUGUAUUUUUAGUUGCUACAGUGACCACUGGGAUUGGCUGGGCAAGGGGGGAUAGGGCAGGAUGUGGAUUCAGCUCAGAGAGUCCUAGGCAUAGAGAUCCUGAUGGUGCAGUCCUGGAAAUAGCCACCAGGUGGUGCCAGGCUGCAUCAACUGCUUCAGGAUGCAGUGUCCAAGGCUGGGAACUGGAGUCUGUCAGUGAUUCCAGGGGACACUGGGGUGGGCCUCCAGAGGGCUGGUAGGCAGGGAGCCUCAGCCCCAGAAGGGUUUCUCUCUGAUUGAGGAAGCCUCGCCUCUGGGCUGAAGCCAGGCCUUGGUGGUACCCACCUGUUGAGAUGCAGGUGGAUGGUCACAGUGUAGGGGCAAGGAACAGCCCCACCAACUCGGCAGGUCAGUACCCAACUCCUUCCCAGGCAUGAAGGGUCCCGGCCAUCAGCUUACUAUGCCAAAGCUCCGCCAGAGGUUGCCCCUGCAGUUGCUGAGGGCCACCUCGCCUCCUGGAAGACAACGUGGACAUUCGUGCAGCCCAGCUGAGCACUGGAGGGAGUCCUUGUGCCCAAAGUCCUCGCAUCUCCUGGUUCCUCUGAUAGGUCAUGGGCUCCAAUCGGUUUUUUUUUUUUUUUUUUUUUUGUCUUUUUGCUGUUUAUUGGGCCUCUCCACGGCAUAUGGAGGUUCCCAGGCUAGGGUCGAAUUGGAGCUGUAGCCGCCGGCCUACGCCAGAGCCACAGCAACGCGGGAUCCGAGCCAUGUCUGCAACCUACACCACAGCUCACGGCAACGCCGGAUCCUUAACCCACUGAGCAAGGCCAGGGAACGAACUCGCAACCUGGUUCCUAGUCGGAUUCGUUAACCACUGCACCACGACGGGAACUCCUCCAAUCUGUUUUUUUUUUUCACAGCUUCUUCACUGGCAGUGUGUCCAUGUGUAGGUCAGUCUUACAUCCCAUGAUGGGCAGCUCCUUGCAGAAGUGACUCAGCUCUGGGUACCACUGGACCAAGAUGUUAGAGCUGUCUGGGCUGAUGACUUGGAAGCAAAGGAGCUGGCACCAGGGUAGAACAGAUGUGCAUCCCAUCCUGAUCAGCUUCUCUGGCUGUGUCUCCUGUCCUGCUGUAGCAUUUGGGGCAGCAAUGUGGAAGAAGUGGGGUGGCAGGAGGAAGUUGAACAUUUUUUAAUAUUAAUUUUUUUCUUUUAAAAUUCUGUCUGUUAUAUCAAAACACUUCACAGGCUGUCAUAUAUCUAAAAUCUCGGGCACAGUUAUUCAUAAUAGCAUUUGGAUAUUUCAAAUUUAGUUUAAGGUUGCCUUAAAACUUGAUGACUAAAUGGCAGAAAGAAAAUUAAAAUCAUCAUUUCUGCUCAGUUUAGCCUAAUUUAAUCCCAAAUUAGUAUUACUGGGCCUGUUAUUGGCAUUUAGGUUUCACAGGCCUCAUAUUCUUAGCCAUUAGUGUAUAAAUAUCAAAACCCAAUCCUUACUUAAGGGUAUAAAAAUAAGAACUCAGAUGUUUGUAAAACGUUUUAUAAAUUUGCAGUGCUUUUAAUUCCUAAUAUUAAUACUAUGUUCUGAUGUUCUAAGUGUUGUACAAACCAGAAUUGUUGAAAGCGUGGAUAAUGCAUUUCUAUUUUCAGCCAUUAAGGAACAUCCAUAGUAAAAGGUAAUUAUUGUCCCUCAAUUAUGAAACAUUAGGUUGUGAUGCUGUGCAGAAAUGUUGUUUAAUUGUAACAGAACAGCCUGGGAUGACAUGGUGACAAUGGCUAGAAAAACUAGGUUUAAGGGCUUUUCAAGCUGUGCUUGCUUCAUUAAUGUGGAACUGUCAUUUUUGCUGACUUCUGGUUACUUGUCGAGGAACUGACAGGGGAAAAGUAUCUAUCUCUAGUUUCUAACGCUAAUAUUAAUCUAAUCAUAUACCCAGCGUCUUUCUCUCUUAUAUAACAAAUUAUUAAUCUACCUCUCAAUGUCCCUGACAGAAAGAAUAAGGGAACUUUUAAUUUUAUGUUAUGCUUUUUUUAGGGCUGCACCCAUGCAUAUGGAUGUUCCCAGGCUGCAUCUGUGACCUAUACCACAGCACAUGGCAACGCCAGAUCCUUAACUCACUGAGCAGGAGCAGGCAUCGAACCUGCAUCCUCAUGGUUACUAGUCAGGUUCGUUACUGCUGAGUCACAGCAGGAGCUUCAAAUGGACUUUUUAAAAAACACAACACUAUAUUUUCUCAGUGCCCACUGUUAGAACUGUCAUUUGUUGACCAUUUUUGUGCCAGAUAAUUUACAGACCUCUUCUACGAUCCACGGAACUACAGCAUAGGAUAACAUUUGUUAUCCUGUUCUAUAGUGAUGACUAUUUCUUGUAGUUACAUAUGAAAAAUUAUGAAGUGGUUUUGAGGCUGCAUGUUAUCUUCCUGUGGAGAGAAUUUACCUUUGCUUCUGGGAUGCAGGAAGUUUGGAGGAAGAAUGCUUCUGAUUCACUUGGGAUUGAAUUGAUUUGCAGCUAUUUUUAAAUUUUUGCAAAUACUGUUCUAUUUCCAGUUGCACUUAUCCUAUAGCACAGUCCCUGCUGAGUUCUACGUGAAAGUUAGGAGGGUUUACUAGGCUCUUCCCCUUUCUGGGCUCUGUCUUUAUUUUCACAGUCCACUGAGACCACUGAACUCUCUGCUAAACUCUGCUCACUUUUUGGCCUCUGAGUUACUGUCUGUUUGGCUUUUCAGCUUCUUGGCCACCACUUAAAAAAAGCCAAAGACUGAAGGGAAAAAUACAUUGAUGAAUUUUGUAUUUCUUUUUCCUUGGGGAUAUUGGUUCCUCAGGUCUUUGCUGUAUUGAUAGCAGAUUGCCUUCAGUUUUUGUUUUGUCUUGUUUUUUAAUCUAUCUGUGUUUUCUAGUGUUUUCCGAGGGCAAUGGUCUGACGCCAGGUAGUCCCGCAUAUCUGUAAGUAGAAAUCUUUCAUGGAGGCUUUGUCUGGAAGGUCAUUGAUUUUUUUUCUGGAAACAAACUCCACCAUUUUUCUGGAAUCACAUUGACUUUGUUGUUGCCCCAACUGUACCAAUAACAAUUCAUGAUCCACGAAACCUAAAGUAAUAUAUUGCUUUCUACAAAAUUUCUCUUAUGUGGAAAGCUCUGUCCACCUCCCAGUUGGUUGACAGGUACCCCGUUUCAAAUGCUGCUGUAGCUAUGGUUGAAACAGCCAGCAGAGAGAUAAACCGUAAGAUUAGAGGAUGACAGUUCUCAAGACUUCCUUUGACCCAUGUUCUGAUUGCAAAUUAGAAUAGGCCGGAUAUUUAUUAAAGCAAAUAAAAUGCAAUAUUUCAAAUGUAUCGUAUCAAAUUUGAAUUUCAUUACAUUGCUUGAUAUUUUUUUCCUAACAAGUCAAUCCAUGAGGCACUAAAUCAUACUGUGGUGAUCACCCAUGGCUGUAUUAGAAUCACUUGGAGAGUUUGAAAAAUAAACUAUACUCCAGGUGCCAUCCUUAGAGAUUUUGAUUGAAUUGAUCUGGGUAGGGCACAGCUGUCUUCCUGCUUUAUAUCCCUGAUCUGAAUCCUACUUAACUAAAGCGUUUUCUUCUCUAAAAUUUUCAUCUAUAUCUCUGAUCUAUUUUUUCUCUUAAUCUGAAUUUAUAAGCUUUCUAUACCCUUAAAGUAAUAGAAUACUUAUUUAUAUGUUAAUUCCUUAUCAAAUUAUCUUACGCAUAUCUUUCCUCACCGCUAAAUUGUCAGCUCUUUGAUUAGGGACCAUAUCUCAAAUUUACUUUGUAUAAUCAUUGAUCCAGCCCAGUCCCUGGCAAAGAGAAGGUACAUGAAUGUGAAAAAAAAAAAAAAAAAAAGGCAGGAAAAAAUGUCACUUAGAGAAAGCACUACCUUUGCUUAAGAAAAUACUUGGUAAACCAUUUGUGAUAGAAUGUGAGAACCUGAAGCUGGUAUUAGUAAAAGAACACACCUGAGGCAACAGAGGAGUUUGUUAAAUAUCCUUGCUUUAGAGAUGAAGAAAAAUCCAGGGAUGAGGACAAAGCAAAGGCUGGAUGAGACAGAAGUUGAGAGUAGAGAGGUG